This 247-nucleotide ribosomal RNA is filed under the name uncultured bacterium. Its description in RNAcentral is "partial 16S ribosomal RNA". It matches the Rfam family "Bacterial small subunit ribosomal RNA", at positions 523 to 769 of the family's 1533-position model. The record is from RNAcentral.
AUACGGAGGGUGCAAGCGUUAUUCGGAAUUAUUGGGCGUAAAGAGCGCGUAGGCGGCCGUACAAGUCAGGUGUGAAAUCCCGGGGCUCAACCCCGGAAGAGCAUUUGAUACUGUAUGACUUGAGUAUGGGAGAGGGAAGUGGAAUUCCUGGUGUAGCGGUGAAAUGCGUAGAUAUCAGGAGGAACACCGGUGGCGAAGGCGGCUUCCUGGACCAAUACCGACGCUGAGGCGCGAAGGCGUGGGGAGC